UAGGGAAUCUUCGGCAAUGGGGUCAACCCUGACCGAGCAACGCCGCGUGAGUGAAGAAGGUUUUCGGAUCGUAAAGCUCUGUUGUAAGAGAAGAACGUGUGUGAGAGUGGAAAGUUCACACAGUGACGGUAACUUACCAGAAAGGGACGGCUAACUACGUGCCAGCAGCCGCGGUAUACGUAGGUCCCGAGCGUUGUCCGGAUUUAUUGGGCGUAAAGCGAGCGCAGGCGGUUUAAUAAGUCUGAAGUUAAAGGCAGUGGCUUAACCAUUGUUCGCUUUGGAAACUGUUAAACUUGAGUGCAGAAGGGGAGAGUGGAAUUCCAUGUGUAGCGGUGAAAUGCGUAGAUAUAUGGAGGAACACCGGUGGCGAAAGCGGCUCUCUGGUCUGUAACUGACGCUGAGGCUCGAAAGCGUGGGGAGCAAACAGG
This 428-nucleotide ribosomal RNA is filed under the name bacterium. RNAcentral's name for it is "partial 16S ribosomal RNA". It matches the Rfam family "Bacterial small subunit ribosomal RNA", at positions 355 to 776 of the family's 1533-position model. The record is from RNAcentral.